Molecule: ribosomal RNA, 634 nt
Filed under: uncultured fungus
Lineage: Eukaryota; Fungi
Description: eukaryotic LSU rRNA
Rfam family: Eukaryotic large subunit ribosomal RNA
Source: RNAcentral
CCCGCUGAACUUAAGCAUAUCAAUAAGCGGAGGAGAAGAAACUAACAAGGAUUCCCCUAGUAACUGCGAGUGAAGCGGGAAAAGCUCAAAUUUAAAAUCUGGCGGUCCUUGUGGCCGUCCGAGUUGUAAUUUAGAGAAGUGUUAUCCGCGCUGGACCGUGUACAAGUCUCCUGGAAUGGAGCGUCAUAGNAGGUGAGAAUCCCGUCUUUGACANCGACUGCCAGGGCAUUGUGAUACGCUCUCAAAGAGUCGAGUUGUUUGGGGAUGCAGCUCCAAAUUGGUGGUAAAUUUCAUCUAAAGCUAAAUAUUGGGGGAGAGACCGAUAGCGAACAAGUACGUGANGGGAAAGAUGAAAAGACCUUGGAAAGAGAGUUAAACAGUACGUGAAUGUUUAAAAGGAAAACGAUUGAAGUCAGUCGCGUCUACUAGGACUCAGCCUUACUUUGGUUUGGUGCAUUUCCUUGUGGACGGGCCAGUGUCCAUGUCGAUUGCUGGAAAAGGUUCAGAGGAAUGUGACUCUUUUAGAGUGUUAUAGCCUCGGUUCAUAUACAGUGGUUGAUAUGGAGUGGUACAGCAUGCUUCGGUGGUGCUUGUGCUGGCAUAAUGGCUUUAAACGACCCGUCUUGAAACACGG